GGCCUGAUGGUGUAAUGGUAACAUGCCUGUGGUCGGUUUUCGGCAACAGUACUACUUUCUGCAGGAGAUCCUUGUUCAAUUCGAGGUCAGGUCG
Molecule: non-coding RNA, 94 nt
Organism: Mycena latifolia
Lineage: Eukaryota; Fungi; Basidiomycota; Agaricomycetes; Agaricales; Mycenaceae
Source: the annotation of a GenBank genome assembly